GAUGAACGCUGGCGGCGUGCCUAAUACAUGCAAGUCGAGCGAACAGAUGAGGAGCUUGCUCCUCCGACUUUAUCGGCGGACGGGUGAGUAACACGUGGACAACCUACCUAUAAGACUGGGAUACCUUCGGGAAACCGGAGCUACUACCGGAUAAUAUAUUGAACCGUAUUGUUCCAUAGUGAAAUUCGGUUUUUCUUUCACUUAUAGCUUGAUCCGCCCCCCAUUAGUUAGUUGGUUAGGUAACGGCUUACCCAGGCAACGAUUGGUACCCGACCCAAGCGGGUGGUCGGCCACACUGGAACUGAGACACAGUCCAGACUCCUACGGGGAGACGCAGUAGGGAAUCUUACGCGAUGGGCGAGAGCCUGACGGAGCAACACCGCGUGAGUGAUGAAGGUGUUCGGAUCGUAGAACGCUGUUAUUAGGGAAGAACAAAUGUGUAAGUAACUAUGCACGUCUUGACGGUACCUAAUCAAAAAGCCACGGCUAACUACGCG
Molecule: ribosomal RNA, 497 nt
Filed under: uncultured bacterium
Lineage: Bacteria
Description: partial 16S ribosomal RNA
Rfam family: Bacterial small subunit ribosomal RNA
Source: RNAcentral